This is a long non-coding RNA of Dicentrarchus labrax (European seabass), 2715 nucleotides long. RefSeq lists it as uncharacterized. NCBI's taxonomy places the organism in Eukaryota, Metazoa, Chordata, Actinopteri, Moronidae. The record is from RefSeq and is a predicted model, not a curated record. The transcript has 4 exons.
GGAGCUGUGGCAGGGGGUGGUGGCGGGCAGUCAGGCUCUCCCCCAUCCGUGUCUGGGUCGAGCUGCACGACCAUGAGGGCCUCCACCUGCUCCAGGGUCUCAGCCUGGAGUCUCCUACCCAGGUGUCUCUUUGCCCAGGUGGAGGCCACUUGAAAGGGGGCAGGCCAAUCACGUUUGGGCAAUGCAGAUAAUGUGUUAAACUCCUUAUCAAUGGAGUCAAUGUAGUGAUCCCUGAGAAUAAGGAUUGUUGUAUAUUCCCAGUUUUUGGCAUUGCUCUCAAUGAGGAGACGGGCCCCCUCACUGGGGCUGGCCGGUUUAAUUGUGGUGGCCAAAUUAGUUGUUAAUUUGUGGAUUGCUGGGGGGGGCUUGUCGGUCGAAACAUUUUUUAGGUGGUGGGCCAAUGUAAUGAUUUUUUUCAUUAUCCUGGCCUUAAUGCCAAAAUCAGGAUCAUCAGACUGUUGUCUGUUCCCAUUUCUGUUUCUCUCCCUCUUUCCACCCCGUGUGUUGCUUGUAUUCCUCCCUGUGUUGCCUGUGUUUCUCCCUGUUUCCCCUGUAUUUCUCCCUGUGUUAUCUGUGUUUCUCCCUUUGUUCCAUGUGUUUCUCCCUGUGUAUCCUGUAUUUCUCCCUGUGUUCCAUGUGUUUCUCCCUGUGUUUCCUGUAUUUCUCCCUGUGUUCCCUGUGUUUCUCCCUGUGUUUCCUGUAUUUCUCCCUGUGUUUCUCCCUGAAUUCCAUGUGUUUCUCCCUGUGUUCCAUGUGUUUCUCCCUGUGUUCCAUGUUGUGUUGUGUCUUGCAGGUUGGUUGUACGGGGCCCUGCGGCUUCCCGGAUUGUCAAAAAAUUGUGGCCUCUGGCCAUGCUCCGUGGAACGGUAGCGUUGUGGGUAGUCGUCCCUCCGUCCAUGUCCUCUGACAACAGAGGCAUAGCUGGGACGCUGCCCUGUGGCCUGGUAACGUUGGCGAGAGUGGUACUGGGCUGAGCGGGGUCUGGGCCUUUCCCCCCGGGGCUGCCUGUAGCGGUCACGCCGGUAGGAAACCACCGUCCAGUCCUCUUCCCUGUUCUCACCACGCAUUCUGGGCCGUUGUUGAGUGUGUGGGCCCCUUGCAAACCCAGAGGGUGUCUAUGGAGGAUUUGCAGGUGAUUUUUAGGUAGUUUUUUCUCUUUUUUAAGGUAAGUAUUAUAUUUUUUCCAGGUAGGUAUAAGGUGAGUAUUAGGUAGUUGUUUUUUCCUUUUCAGGUAAGUAUUGUGUUUUUUCAGGUAGAAAUUAUUAUGUUAUUAACCAUCAUUUCCCUUUUUGUGUUAUCCCUCAGUUUCCAAUUUACAUGUCCAUUUAUUUUUGUCAUGUCUCCUUUUUUCCUUUUCUCUCUUUAACUCCAAUUGAUGUGGCAGGGGUUAGGUGUGGCUUAGUUUAGCCUGGUAGGAGUUUAGGAGUAUUUGGGGUUAAGUAUGGGUGUCCUGGGGGGUGGUUAGGGUUAGGGAUUCAGUUCAGGUAGUGGUUAGGGUUAGAGGUUAAGGUCAGGGUCAGGGGUCAAUAAGAGGUAGGAGCCUCAGCUGCCUCCUCAUGUGCUCCGUUGCUUCCUUGCUCGUUAAAGAUUAUGGACAAAUAGAACAGUAAGAACUUGUAAAAUAAAAUAGUACAUCUCCAAUUAAUGGUUCAAAGGUCAACUCAUGGUGGGUGGCAGACCUUCUCAAAGAGCAGGAGGCGCUGGCCGGUUAGGAUAGAGAAAGUGGAUGAGUCUCGGCACCGCGCAGCGGUGUCGAGGCUCCAUGCACGGGCCAUCCUGCUCCAGAUCAGGAAAGCUCUUAUUUGAGGUUGAGGCCUUUGGGGUGUAAUGUUUCUAAUUUUCUUAUCCAUGUCCUUUCAGCUCGGGUUCUCUGUGUGGCGUUCCAGCUGGGGUCCAUCUGGAUGAUCGUGGCCCGGACAGACGACCAUCCAUGGGCCAGAAAAUGGCUGACCAGAGGCGUGUGGGUUUCCCUCCGCCUCUGGAUGUUGUAGCGGUGUUGGGUGAACCGCUAGCGAUUGCUGGCUUGGAAUAGGUGGUGACGAAGGGGAGUACAUCCGACGUGUCUACUGGUUUUGUUUCCAGAAAGGUGCUGAGGGCCUUCCGACGGAAGGAGCGUACAUAGCCCCUGGUGGCGAGAGCUCUGAAAAGCGUUUUAGUGGCCGCCAUGAAGUCGCUUUUGUGGGUGCAGAUACGGUGGAAACGGAGUAAUUGUGAUUUCAAUAGGCCCCUGUAUGUGUGUUUGGGGUGGUGGCUGGUUUUAUAAAGCAGGGCAUGGGUGUCUGUUUCUUUGAAGAAAACUUUAAUGUCUAAUUUGUUUGUAUGCUGGAAAUUGAUCCCCUUGUAGGUGGUGGUAUCCAGGAAGUCGACCGACGUGGUGCUAGUGGUGGACUUCAGUGUGAUGGACGGGUUGUGAUUAUUCAAGGCUGCCAGGGCGGAGGUCUCCCAUUCGGCCAUGAAGAUGUUGGCAUAUGCCGGUGCAAAUUUUUUGCCCAUGGCAGUGCCUUUAAUUUGUAAAUAAAAUUUGUUGUCAAAUUCAAAAUCAUUUCUCCUCAAGUUGAUUGCAAGGAGUUGUAAUAGUUCCUUAUCAGGUCUCUUUUUGUCUGGAAAUUUUGUAAAUAUGUUUUUUAUGGCCUGAAUGCCUUCAUCAAUAUCUAUAUUGGUGUAUAAACUGUCGACAUCCAUCGUGAACAGGAUGGAGUCGGGGGGGAUAUGGAG